GGUCCUAUGUGUCCACCCCUUCAAAUUCGUCAUUGUCCUCCGGCGCCAGCGCGCUCAGCCGAGUCCAUAGCCUCAUCGAGCGGGAGCGCCGAGUCGAUGGGGAGCACUCCAUCGCCGCGCACGUAGCCAUCGGCGUACCAGGUCUAGUGUAUGGGGCUUGGUAUCUUUCUAGAAGCCACGCCACCACCGUCUGCGACCACAGCCACAAGGUGCAGGGAUGUGGAGCAGGAGUACUACAAGGCAGUGGCGUCGGCGAGGUCGAGAUCAUUGUCAAUGGCGGCAGUGCUGGCUUCACAGGGCAAGGGAGUGCUGCGGAACCAUAAGCCUCGCGCUCACCUUCGAUUAGCGAGAUAGCGUGAGAUGAAGUUGAUCAUGAGGUGUGGAGCAUAGGGAUGGUGGUCGAUGGCUGAGGCGAAGGUCAUGCGGGCUCAUGCUGAUGGACCGAAAGCGGUGAAGGGCGAGUGUCGGGUCUUGACUGAUGGAUCGGAGUAGCCGGGUGACCAGACGCGGUAGCUGACACCUGGGACACGCACUCGUGCGAGGACGUGGUGGAGUGGACUGUAUUGCCGGCGUGGUCAAGGACUGGCGAGACACAUGUCUGGUCGUGGAGGACGCGCACGAGGUGCGUUACUCAUGGCAGGUUUGGUGGUUUGGACCUGGAAACCACACAGCGCUACGGAUGGCGGGUUUUGCUGAGUUUGGGCCUCAAAACUCAGCGGCAGAGGUUUUAGAGGGAACUGGUGGUGACACGUGGCGUGAUCGCGGAGGGUGCGUAAAGGCGAAGCGACUCCAUGUGAAGGAUGUGGCCCUCGAAUCGAAAACCUAGGAGUUGGUCCAUUUCGUGCCCGGUGGAGUGGAUAGGCUCUAUGUAAAUAGCAGUAGUUUAGGAAAUGACAAUAACCCUCUAUAAAUAGAGAGAAUGGCUAGUUCGUCUAGCAUCUCUUGAGUGCUAUUUGUUUAGAGCACUCAUUCUAGAGCUCUUAGUUUUCUCUCUAGGUAGACUCCAGUUGAGCCGAGAGGUCCACAACGAUUUUGUACUUGGACUGUGUUCUUGAUCUUCAAGUUUAAUCAGAGGAAGGGUUGUCAGUCCGGCCCAUAACGUUCUUUGGCUUCAAUCUCAGUUUUGUAUACUUGCUGAAA
Molecule: long non-coding RNA, 1140 nt
Organism: Zea mays
Lineage: Eukaryota; Viridiplantae; Streptophyta; Magnoliopsida; Poales; Poaceae
Exons: 2
Source: RefSeq, a predicted model, not a curated record